RNAcentral lists this ribosomal RNA (393 nucleotides) under uncultured bacterium. RNAcentral's name for it is "partial 16S ribosomal RNA". It matches the Rfam family "Bacterial small subunit ribosomal RNA", at positions 523 to 918 of the family's 1533-position model. The record is from RNAcentral.
AUACGGAGGAUGCGAGCGUUAUCCGGAUUUAUUGGGUUUAAAGGGUGCGCAGGCGGGCGAUUAAGUCAGCGGUGAAAGGCUCGGGCUCAAUCGGAGCAGUGCCGUUGAUACUGGUUGUCUUGAAUGCGGUCAAGGCCGGCGGAAUGUGGCGUGUAGCGGUGAAAUGCAUAGAUAUGCCACAGAACACCGAUAGCGAAGGCAGCUGGCCGGGCCUGCAUUGACGCUGAGGCACGAAAGCGUGGGGAUCGAACAGGAUUAGAUACCCUGGUAGUCCACGCUGUAAACGAUGGACACUCGUUGUCGGCGACAGACAGUCGGCGGCCAAGCGAAAGUGAUAAGUGUCCCACCUGGGGAGUACGGUCGCAAGGCUGAAACUUAAAGGAAUUGACGGGG